This 328-nucleotide unclassified non-coding RNA is filed under the name soil metagenome. RNAcentral's name for it is "partial contains 5.8S ribosomal RNA, internal transcribed spacer 2, and large subunit ribosomal RNA". The stretch from base 1 to 119 matches the Rfam family "5.8S ribosomal RNA", at positions 35 to 154 of the family's 154-position model. The record is from RNAcentral.
GAUGAAGAACGUAGCGAAAUGCGAUAAGUAAUGUGAAUUGCAGAAUUCAGUGAAUCAUCGAAUCUUUGAACGCACAUUGCGCCCCUGGUAUUCCGGGGGGCAUGCCUGUCCGAGCGUCAUUACAACCCUCAAGCUCAGCUUGGUGUUGGGCCCCGCCGCCCCGGCGGGCCCUAAAGUCAGUGGCGGUGCCGUCCGGCUCCGAGCGUAGUAAUUCUUCUCGCUCUGGAGGUCCGGUCGUGUGCUCGCCAGCAACCCCCAAUUUUUUUCAGGUUGACCUCGGAUCAGGUAGGGAUACCCGCUGAACUUAAGCAUAUCAAUAAGCGGAGGA